AAAGGCUAGCAGGUAGAGAAGCAGACCUGUAAGACAUAAUUCCAUCUGCAAAAGAAGAAGUCUAAUCUAUUUUCAUGCCAAAGAGGAAAGGACUUUUCACUUUAUUCAUCACUUCAUUAAUCUCAUUUCAAAAGGGAAGUCCAGGGCUGAAAACAGAGGUUAUUCACGUUUCAAACAAACUCCUUAGGCAUAAUGAGUGAGCAAAGCAUUCAACUGUUAGACUUUGUUGCUUUUCUACCAGCUGGAGACAAGUACAAUGAAGGUCAUACUAUUUAAUCUUACAUGUAGAUAGUCGGGGUUGGAGAAAGAAUUAACUUGAAAAAUGGCAAAUUAUAGAUCUGUUAUGCACUGGGGCUCAGGCAGAGUUUGGAACAACAUGAGAAGCUCGAUGGUAUCUUUUUCCACCUUGUUUUAGUCUACAGAUUGACUGAAUGAAAAAUACUGUGGCGAACCAUGAGAAAUAACGAAAAGCCCUACAUACCCACCACCAUUCUGCAGCAAAACGGAGGGGUUUGGAACGACUGGAAAUACUUCCACCCCAGGAAUUUCCAGGACAUCUGAUUUUCUUUUGGCUUGACAUAGCCUCUUGGCUGCCGAGCUCCAUCCAGCUCCCAGCAGCCACCUGCUCGGAUCCAUCCUAGACAAGGCCCUGCUGCUGGCCUCAGGCUACCUUCUGGAAUCCUCCAAAAGUCCUAGGGGAACAAAUUCAACUUAGAACCUCUGUUAUGAAGCUUUCAGUGAUACCUCCCUGACUAAGGUAAGGGCCCCUCUUUGUACUCAUAUAGCUCCUUAUCAUACCUUUAUCACGUCUUUUUCACUUUCU
Long non-coding RNA from Acinonyx jubatus (cheetah), 823 nucleotides. RefSeq lists it as uncharacterized. The record is from RefSeq and is a predicted model, not a curated record. NCBI's taxonomy places the organism in Eukaryota, Metazoa, Chordata, Mammalia, Carnivora, Felidae. The transcript has 3 exons.